CUUCCCAGCUCUUUCAGUCUGUUACCUGCUGGGCAAAUUCCAAAUCCGGCCUUUCACCCAGAUGAGUAUCUUCCCCCGCAGACCAAGAAGUAAAUACUGUAUCAGUUUGGUUCUCUUUCCUUGCCUUAAUUUUCGCCAAGCACUAAUCAUGUACUAUGCCACUUAAUAGACUCGUCUCGUUAAUUUUCUGCCUCCUCCAGCUAAAAUAGGCCUCUUCAAGCUGCUUCCUUUGUUCAGCGAAUAGACAGCUACUAUUAUGUGCAGGGAACUCUUGUGUGCUGGAUUUACAAAGAUGAACAAGGCAGCUAGUCUGAAUUGGCUUUCUGUCAUUUGCAACCCGAAGAUUUUGGACUAAUAUCCCUGCCAAAGGAAAAACUUCAGCUGGAACUCCAUGUCUCCCUGUCAUGAAGGAAUGAGAAAAGCCAGUUUCCAGGACCACAGCAGCAACACCAAGAGGCUCUGGGAGAAGAGGGAUGCUAGUAUAGCUAUUAUAAAUGAAUUCCAUUCAGUUAAACAAAGAUCUUUGAUAAGAACAGUGGUAAACAGCAUAUAUUAUCUCUUCAGCUUUGCUCUGCUGGAGACUGAACAUCUCCAGAAAAAAAACAAAAUGAGCCAGGAAGAAUACAUUGUUGCUGAACUGUCGCACUAGAUUUGCAAACGAAAUAGAAGAACACAUCUCCUGA
Long non-coding RNA from Mirounga angustirostris (Northern elephant seal), 683 nucleotides. RefSeq lists it as uncharacterized. Lineage: Eukaryota; Metazoa; Chordata; Mammalia; Carnivora; Phocidae. The transcript is spliced from 3 exons. The record is from RefSeq and is a predicted model, not a curated record.